RNAcentral lists this ribosomal RNA (331 nucleotides) under uncultured bacterium. RNAcentral's name for it is "bacterial SSU rRNA". It matches the Rfam family "Bacterial small subunit ribosomal RNA", at positions 568 to 898 of the family's 1533-position model. The record is from RNAcentral.
CGCGUAGGCGGGCGGUCGAGUCAGGGGUGAAAUCUUUCGGCCCAACCGGAAAAGGGCCCCUGAUACCGGCCGUCUCGAGGGAGGUAGGGGCGUGUGGAACUUCCGGUGGAGCGGUGAAAUGCGUAGAUAUCGGAAGGAACGCCGGUGGCGAAAGCGACGCGCUGGACCUCUUCUGACGCUGAGGCGCGAAAGCCAGGGGAGCAAACGGGAUUAGAUACCCCGGUAGUCCUGGCCCUAAACGAUGGGUACUAGGUAGUGGACUAGACAUGGGUUCACUGCCGGAGCAAAAGUGUUAAGUACCCCGCCUGGGGAGUAUGGUCGCAAGGCUGAA